This 279-nucleotide ribosomal RNA is filed under the name uncultured bacterium. RNAcentral's name for it is "partial 16S ribosomal RNA". It matches the Rfam family "Bacterial small subunit ribosomal RNA", at positions 506 to 784 of the family's 1533-position model. The record is from RNAcentral.
UGCCAGCAGCCGCGGUAAUACGGGGGGUGCAAGCGUUAUUCGGAAUUAUUGGGCGUAAAGCGCGCGCAGGCGGGAAUAUAAGUCAGGUGUGAAAUCUCGAGGCCUAACCUCGAAACUGCGCCUGAAACUGUGUUCCUAGAAUAUCGGAGAGGGAAGGAGAAUUUCUCGUGUAGGGGUAAAAUCCGUAGAGACGAGAAGGAAUACCAGUGGCGAAGGCGCCUUCCUGGACGAUGAUUGACGCUGAGGCGCGAAAGCGUGGGGAGCAAACAGGAUUAGAUA